This 253-nucleotide ribosomal RNA is filed under the name uncultured bacterium. RNAcentral's name for it is "partial 16S ribosomal RNA". It matches the Rfam family "Bacterial small subunit ribosomal RNA", at positions 524 to 776 of the family's 1533-position model. The record is from RNAcentral.
UACGUAGGGUGCAAGCGUUAUCCGGAGUUAUUGGGCGUAAAGAGCUCGUAGGCGGUUUGUCGCGUCUGCUGUGAAAACUGGAGGCUCAACCUCCAGCUUGCAGUGGGUACGGGCAAACUAGAGUGCGGUAGGGGAGAUUGGAAUUCCUGGUGUAGCGGUGGAAUGCGCAGAUAUCAGGAGGAACACCCGUAGCGAAGGCGGCACUCUGGGCCGAUUCUGACACUGAGGGGCGAAAGCGUGGGGAGCGAACAGG